GUGUGUGUGUGUGUGUGUGUGUGUGUGUGUAUAUAUAUAUAUAUAUAUAUAUACACCCACCCACACCCACACACCCAUAUAU
RNAcentral lists this microRNA precursor (82 nucleotides) under Podarcis lilfordi (Lilford's wall lizard). Lineage: Eukaryota; Metazoa; Chordata; Lepidosauria; Squamata; Lacertidae. The record is from RNAcentral.